This 871-nucleotide ribosomal RNA is filed under the name uncultured bacterium. Its description in RNAcentral is "bacterial SSU rRNA". It matches the Rfam family "Bacterial small subunit ribosomal RNA", at positions 615 to 1500 of the family's 1533-position model. The record is from RNAcentral.
CCUUAUACCNUUUUGAUACUGUUUUCUAGAGGGCAAAAGAUGUUAGUAGAAUUUCAUGUGUAGCGGUGAAAUGCGUGGAGAUAUGAAAGAAUACCAAAAGCGAAGGCAACUAACAUGUUUGUUCCUGACGUUGAGGCAUGAGAGCAUGGGUAGCAAAUAGGAUUAGAUACCCUAGUAGUCCAUAGCUGUAAACGAUGAGUGCUAGAUGUUUCAUGAGAAGUAUCGAAGCUAACGCGUUAAGCACUCCACCUGGGGAGUACGCACGCAAGUGUAAAACUCAAAGGAAUUGACGGGAACCCGCACAAGCGGUGGAACAUGUGGUUUAAUUCGAAGAAACGCGAAGAACCUUACCAAGACUUGAAAUUUUUCGCAAUGUUAUAGAAAUAUAACGGAGGUUAACGAUCNNCNNNUGGUGCAUGGCUGUCGUCAGUUCGUGUCGNGGGNNNAAANNANAAGUCCUCUAACGAACGCAACCCUUGUCGCUAGUUGCUAACAUUAAGUUGAGUACUUUAGCGAGACUGCCGGUGUAAACCGGAGGAAGGUGAGGAUGACCUCAAGUCCUUAUGCCUCUUACGUCUUGGGCUACACACGUGUUACAAUGGCCAAUACAAAGAGAUGCAAAUGUGUGAACAUGAGCAAAUCUCAAAAGCUGGUCUCAGUUCGGAUCGAAGUCUGCAACUCGACUUCGUGAAGUCGGAAUCGCUAGUAAUCGCAAAUCAGCAACGUUGCGGUGAAUACGUUCUCGGGUUUUGUACACACCGCCCGUCAAACCACGAAAGUUGAUAGUACUGGAAGGUGAUAUCCUAACCAUUUAUGGAGGGAAUCAACCAAGGUAAGAUCGAUAAUUGGGGUUAAGUCGUAACAAGGUAAC